RNAcentral lists this microRNA (22 nucleotides) under Eptesicus fuscus (big brown bat). RNAcentral's name for it is "efu-miR-9223d". Lineage: Eukaryota; Metazoa; Chordata; Mammalia; Chiroptera; Vespertilionidae. The record is from miRBase by way of RNAcentral.
CGACGACAUACCCUGGAAUCAG